GGGAAAGCUGUCUGAGACAAUAUGAAAAUCAAUGAUGCCACUCUAGCAUUAGCUGAAGAUCCCCUUGAUUUUGUCCAGCAGCCAAGACACUAAGUGACCCAAAGGAAGAAAAGGGUGAUCAACGAGGCUGUGCGCCUACUCAGCGCGAAGACAACAAGGAUGAAACCCUUUAUGAUGAUCCACUUCCACUUAAUGAAUAGUAAAUAUAUUUUAUCUUCCUUUAUAAUUUUUUAAAUAAAUUUUUCUCUAGCUUAUUCUAACAAUACAGUGUAUAAUGC
RNAcentral lists this non-coding RNA (278 nucleotides) under Pongo abelii (Sumatran orangutan). The record is from RNAcentral. Lineage: Eukaryota; Metazoa; Chordata; Mammalia; Primates; Hominidae.